This 397-nucleotide long non-coding RNA is filed under the name Nicotiana benthamiana. Its description in RNAcentral is "long non-coding RNA (NBEN_LNC015680)". Lineage: Eukaryota; Viridiplantae; Streptophyta; Magnoliopsida; Solanales; Solanaceae. The record is from RNAcentral.
CAAAAACCUCGAUACAGACUUCAUCCAGGACCACGAACACACAGAAACAUGAUCGGAUCGUCUUCGAGGCUCUGAUACCAUGUUAACAUCAAGAUUGAACGAAAGAAUCAUACAAAUUAUAGAGAGAGAAAGUAGAGAGAAGGAGGAGAGUAGGUGAGAAGUCUCUCGAAUGUCAGAGAGAGAAUUGUAUUAACCGAGAAGAAAAAUAAACGAAAUGAAGUCCGGGGGUCACUAAUGUCGGUGACCCCAAAAUAUAUAAUUACACACGUAGGUCGGGUCAAUGACCCAGCUAGAAUAAAGAAUGGACGGGUCACAUAUCUGGGCUCAGAUAUGACUCUCAGCUAUUGAGCUAGGGGAAAGGCCCAAUCUUAGACAUUAUCAUCACUGCCCAUAUUGU